CUCCCAAGACAUGAAACACCGUAAGUCGCAAGCUUCUAAGAAUUUCUAUAUGUUCUAUACAUUAGUAUCUAAAGAAAAAGGGGAAGAAUUAACAUAAGGGGAUAAAGGGGGACUCCGAGAAUCUGCGGACGCGGGCAGAUGCACCUUGAAGUCUCCUGAAUAGCAAUGACUGCAACUAAGAAUGAGGCUGGUAGGAGGUACCUGGAUCUGCACAUGAAAAACAUGUGCGGGAAAGGCAUAAGUACACCACAACGGUACCCAGUAAAUACCAAACCUAACCUCGAUUGAGUAGUGACGAGGUCAGGUCAGGGCCCUACUAGUAUAUGUAUAAUAAAAUAAGACAAAAUGAAAUAUCGCAGUAAGUAAAGACCAAAAUUUAACAAGAAUGAAAUCAUAAAAAGGUAACAGCUCAGUACACAGAGAUAACAACAGUGGAUCUCCCGAAAUACUGUUCCGUAGUCCUAAAGAAAAUAUGUAAUGCAGGGGGAUCUCUCGGAAUACCGUUCCGUAGUCCCAAAGUAAAUAUGCAGUAUAUGUGGAUCUCCCACAACACCGUUCCAUAGUCCCAAAGUAAAUAUGCAACUCAAACAACGGAAAUAACAGUUACUAAAGGAAAGCCUACAGUUUAGACUAAGUUCAAGUCAAGGAAAAAAGAGGAAAUUCACUAAAUAUGCUGCAUAAAGUUCAGAUAGAUAAUCAAAGCAAGUAGACAUGCUAUUCUAACCUAACAGGAUACUACAUAUGCUAAUACAACUCAAAUAAGAAGGAAAACAUGUUAUUACUUAGCAGAAAUCGGGUUUUCACAAUAGUUACCAUGUGUACGUACUCGUCACCUUACGUACAUGACACUCACAUACCAAAACAAUACCAAAUCCUAAGGGGAGUUUCCCCCACAUAAAGUUAGGCAAGCCACUUACCUCGAACCAAGCUCAAAUAAAUCCGUAACAAUGCCCUUUCCACGAAUAUCUGACUCCGAGUGGCCCAAAUAUAACAAAAAUAAAUUACAUUCAUAAAUAUAACUACAAGAACUAAUCAAACUAAUGAAAUCAAAGCUAAAGCAAUAAAUUGGAAAAUCAUCCUAAAAGGUCUCCCCGGGUCCACGUCUCAAAAUCGGAUAAAAGUCACAAAAUAUGAACACUUAUCCACUCACGAGUCUAACCAUACAAGAAUUACUCGAAUCCGACCCCAAAUCGCCUUCCAAAACUCGAAAUUUUAGUUUAUGAAACUUCUACCAUUUUUCCCCUAAUUUCCAACUCAAAUCCCUAACUAAAUAAUUCUCCUCUCCCCAGGAUCAUCUGAACAAACCAAUCAGGUUUUGUCAAAUGAAGGAACAUCUCUGAAAAUAUCAUGCUUGCUCAGGAAAUAGUUCAUGGUAUUAAAAAGCCAAAUGUGGGUUCAAAUGUAGUCAUCAAGCUUGACAUGGCAAAAGCUUAUGACAGAGUUUCCUGGAGCUUCACAUGCCUAAUGCUCAGAAGAAUGGAAGUAAAUAAAAUUAUCAUUGACAUGAUAUGGAGGACAAUGUCUAACAACUGGUACUCUGUAGUUGUUAAUGGUACAAGAUGUGGCUUCUUCCAAUCCUCAAAGGGCCUCAAACAGGGGGAUCUACUAGCCCCAUCUUUAUUCAUCAUAGGUGUAGAGCUCCUCUCCAGAAUGCUCAACAGAUUGAAUCAUGACAAACUGUUUAAUGGCUUCUACAUGGAAAAGAGAGGGCCACAGAUCAAUCACUUGAGCAUUGCAGAUGAUAUCAUCAUCUUUACGUCUGGCAAAAGAACAUCUCUCAAGAAGAUCAUGUGGGUCCUUACUAAUUAUGAGAACACCUCAAGACAACUCAUUAACAGGCAGAAAAGCCAUUUCAUGACCGCAUCCUCUGCUCUGCAAGCUACUAUUAGAAGAAUCCAUGAAGUGACAGGUUUCACCAGAAAAGAUUCAUCUCUCACAUAUCUGAGGUGUCCUAUUUACACUGGUAGAAGCAAAAUCAUGCAUUUCAAUAGGCUAAUCUCUAAGGUUGUAGGAAAAAUCAAAGGCUAUGGUAAAAUGUUAUCCUAUGGUGGAAGGGUAACUUUGAUCAAGUAUUUACUGAAGGCCCUACCAAUUCACUUGCUUUCAGCUGUGUCCCCUCCCAAGACAUUCAUGAAGCAGAUUGAAAGAUUCACUGUAAACUUCUUCUGGGGUAUGAUAUCAUUAGGCAUCAUGGUCAAAACUUUCCUAUCCUCUCAAUGAAGGUGUAGUUGGUUUCAGAACUAUCAAGGACACAUGCAAGGCCAUGGAAUUCAAAUAAUGGUAUCAUUUCAGAACUGUGGACUCACUUUGGAGUUCCUUUCUGAAAGCCAAAUAUUGUUAGAGAUCUCACCCCAUAUCCAAGAAAUGGGACAUUGCCCAAUCUCAAGCUUGGAAAAGGCUGAGCUUCAACAAAAAAGAUGCUGAAACUACAAUUCAGUAGAGAUUACAUUAUGGAUGCUACAGCUUCUGAUCGGAUAAUUGGUUGGGAUCAGGCCCUUUAGCCAAUAGCAGAACAGGAGGAGGAAGACCAGGCAGAAUCUCAAUUUCUCAUAUCUGGAAUGAUGGGCAUUGGGAUCUCUAAAAUCUUAAUAAAACAGCCCCAGCUCAUAAGAUUCAUGAGAUUAUAUAAAUAGCCAUUCACUUCAAUCUAGAUCUCCCUGACAAGCCUAUCUGGAUCCCUGUUGUGAAUGGUAAAUUCAUUGUGCUACUGCUUGGUAUCUCAUAAGGAACAAAACACCACCCAACUUCACUAACAAGAUGACAUGCCACACAAAGAUCCGUUUCAAAUGGUCAUUUUGCCAUUGGAGAACCCUAAGAAACAAAUUACCCACUGAUGAUAGAGUGCUCCCCUUCAUCAGUCACACUUUUCAAGAUGUGUUUGUUGCUCCAUACAUGCUCGUGAAAUAAUAGAUCACCUCUUCAACUCUAGCAACUUUGCAAAAAUCAUUUGGAGGAAGUAUGGAGGUCAUGUAGGUGUCCACACUGAGAACUUGCCUUUUAGAAUGCUUCUAAUGAAAUGGUGGCUUCAGAAGAGUCAUAAUGUGAUUCAAAAGCUCAUCUUGGACACCACCCCUACCAUUAUUUGCUGGAACUUGUAGAAACAUAGAUGCAGUGCCAAGUAUGGGACAAAAUCUUCUUCCUUAACCAGGAUCAUAUAUUCAAUCAACUCAGACAGCAACCUGCUCCUAAGAGCCAACUUCCCUAAUGUCAACUGGCCCCUCAACUGGGGGGAUCUCUACCCCUUCAUUGAAAAUCUCCAGCAACAAACUAUUUCUACCCAAAUUUGCGGGAACAAACCUGACAAUGACUUUGUCAAAGUUAAUUCUGAUGGCAAGAUAGGAGCCAGAGUUAUAAUCAGAAAUCACCAUGGGCAGUUCAUUCAUGCUAUGGCUAUUCCAUUAGGGCAGGGAACCAAUAACUAUGCAGAAACAGAAGUAGCGAGAAUAGGUAUUCAGUGCUGUUUGGCUAAUGGAUUCACCAGAAUUCACUUUGAAGCAGGCUCAACACUUUUGAUCAAAUGGUUGACUAAAGAUAAGGAUCCUCCCUGGACUUUGAACAUGAAGAUAUCACAAUUGAAGGACAUGUGCAACCAAUGCUUAGAUUUCAGAGCUUCUUAUGUGUAUAGAGAAGCAAAUUGUCCUGAUGAUUCACUGUCAAAGCUCAGUCAUGAACUCACAUCAUCGACUGAGUUCAAUAAUGCUUCUACUCUCCCAACUCACAUCAGAGGGAAAAUCAUGCAAGAUUACCUGGGUACUCCUGCUUUAAGGCACAGGAAAAUCAGCAGAAUCUUGGUACCUCCACAAUAUGCAAGUUCCUCUUCCUCAUAUCAUGGUUAUGGUUGAUGUUUCCUUAGAAAUGGGAGCACAAUUAUCAGUCCAAAUGAAGAGCACAAGGCAAUAGUUUAUGGUAAUCCAAGUCCAUGCUUACCUCAUUUUCUUUUUUGCAGGUACCAUCACCUUGGGACUGUAUAGACCAUUGGCCUCUCCUCAGAGUGUGGUAUUAACAGCAAUAUUGUUCAAUCUCCUGAGGAUUGAUCAAUGGAGUGGGGUAGAUCUCAACACAAACACACACUACAACUUUGAACUCAAAAAACACAACACUAGUUUCUCAACUUGCAAGGAAAAAGGAAUGAAGACAUUGACAAAAAUGCAGUCCAUACUCCCAAUAUGUGGACCAAUUUUCACCUUCUUCCCUUUGCUCAUCAAUGUUCCUAGUACACACAAGAACCUUGGAGCAAUUUCGUCUUUUUUGCAGCCCAAUAAUCAAUCUGCAAACACCCCUAAACCUCAGAAAAAACACAGAAUCAAAAAACUGGGCAGAACUGCCCUAUUUCUCUAACUCUGUUUUCUUUUUUGCAGGUUUCAUUCAUUCAUUGAUGCUUAUCCAAUUGAUGCACUUCCAGGGUGUGGUAUUAGCAUCCAUGAUGCUCAUUCUCCUGGAAGUAUAUCAACUGGAUCAAUCAGUGUUUCCAACUGCUGAAGCACUCAUAUCCAGUAGAUCAAGUGGACAGUUCUUCACAAAUACCUACAGAUAUGCCCAUACAACACUUGCAUACAUAUAUCACAGUCAUUCAAGGAACGGCACCAACUCGCAGAUGUCCAACAAAUCAUACAUCAGGAGAGAAAAUAGAGCAGUAGGUCUAAUUGCAAAGGAACUUGUCUCCAGCAAAACAAAUGGGCAAGACAUUAGUUCCUCAUGCUGUAAAUCAUCUACCUGCAAUCACCUCCCCACAGUUAAGUCACCCAAUAACUAUCACCACUGCCCUAUUCUCUACAGAAACCAAAAACCUGUUGUGCUAACACCACAUCACUCCCAACAAUUCAUCAGAAACCACAGCCCAACACCCCUCAAUGCACCCAGAAUAAACAAGAACCUGGGGGCAAAAGGUCUUCUCCUAAUAGCUGCACACCAACAACUACAAAAAAUCCACACUGAUAUCUCCCUGACCCUCACAACAUAAUCCCCAACAAUGCUCCUAGUAUACACAAGAACCUGGAAGCAGAAGUUUUUGCAUUAACCUAUUUAUUUCUUAUUGCAGGUACCUGGGAUAGAUUCAAUAUACUAACUCAAUUGCAAGGAGUGGUAUUAGAAUUUCAAAUGCUCAACCUUCUACAAUUGUGUCAAUAUUUGAGGGUCUGUCAUACCUUUCCUGGUAGAACUUGUAGGAGCCAACACAUGAUUAUCCAGCUACGCACAUAGCUAUAGAAACAUCAUGAAAGCACCACAUGGGGAAACUCUGAAAGCAGGCAACAACACAAGCUAUCAGCACUGCUACUCCAGCUUUCAAUCUCAAUGGUGUAGUCCAAACAAAUCAGCAUCUGCACAGAUUUCUAGUAGCACACUCCUAGGGGCCCAUACCUAGCUUAGCUACUUAAUUCUGCAAUCAAUUAUCACAAGCACUGGAUCAUUUCUUGCAUAAGCUUCACUAGGUGCUUCAAGUUUAACUAGAUGCAGGAAACAUGCCAAUGCUUACCCUCUUAUGUCAGCAAUAACAUACAGCAAUUGCCAUUUUGUUCACAAACAAGGACUCUCUACUCUCCACAAACAAGGACCCUUUUGAUAGACAUCUUCAACCUGGCUUUCCUUGACACCAAUGUCAAAGCAAGAUUGAAGAUGUUUCCCUCCAUUUACACAUGAUUUUUGCCAUGCCUUAUAGGGAAUUUCUACAACUCUUCUACAUGUAGAACUUUUUGUAUAUGGAAGCUGGCUCUCCACUUAUUUACAUAGUAGAAAUAGGUUCACUUGUGCAUUUUUGUAUAGUUGACCUAAGUUUACUUCACUCUAUUUGUGUACAUCCAAUUGACUAUCACUGUUCUAUAGUCAAUUAGAACAUUAUUAUAGGUCUAACUCAUCAUAGCAUUCAGGUUUCACCUGGUCAUCCUGUUUGGAUGACCAAGUGUUCAUGUAUCAUAUUUUCGGAGGUAAGGUUUAUGUCCCCCUCCUUUGAUGUACUUUAUUCUUUAUAUAUGAAAAUCAGCACUAGGCACAAUUCCUAGUGGAUUCUACAAAAAGAUUUCUAAUUAAAUGAUGAAGGAUAUAACCAUAAAGGAGUUAAGGAUCGUUACCCACAAGCUUCCUCUGAUAAAUCCCUCAAAAUUUUGCCUCAAUCCGAGCUCUCUAGGUCCAAAAAUCGAGAAUGAAAUCAAACCCGCACACUUAGCCCUUUUUCUACCAGUGAUUUUGCUUCUACGAGAGGGUCCACCGUACACGCAGUUCCGCACAUGCGGAAAAUCCAUCGCAAAUGCGGACUUAACUUAAGUCCAAGAUUCUGCAUCUGCGCGAGAUAUGCCGCAUCUGCGCUCCUGCUCCUGCGGAUAGAUAUCCGCUUCUGUGAUCAACCUUCUGCUUUUGUGCUCUACCUUUCGCAGAAGUGACUUCGCUUCUGUGGUCCUUCCCUCACACAUGUGACCUAUGACCUUUUCCUUCCAAUCCGCACCUGCGUCCUGUGGCUCGCUUCUACGAGGUUGCACUUUAUCUAUCCUAAUCCUAAGACUUAAGCCUCCAUUUAGGGACUAAGUAUCCCAAAAUACUCCUAAAACUAAAAUGAAACCUACCGGCAAGUCACAGUAGCAGAAAUAGAUACGGGGGAAAUAAUUAACAAGGAAUCGGGGCUAUAACUCUCAAAACAAUCAUCCUGGUCAUUACAUCCUCCCCUAUUAAAGUAAUCGUUCGUCCUCAAAUGAGCAUAUAGACAUACCUGAAGUUUGAAAAGAUGAGGAUAACAGCUGCGCAAAUACUGCUCGGUCUCCCAAGUCACCUCCUCGACCGGUUGACCCCUCCACUAAACCUUCAUCGAAGCAAUGUUCUUUGACCUCAGCUUUCGAACCAGCCUGUCCAAAAUAGCCACUGGCUCCUCAACAGAAGAUAGAUCCCUAUCCAACAGGACUAAGCUAAAAUCCAACACGUGAGAUGGAUCAUCGUGAUACUUCUGAGCAUAUAAACAUAGAAUACCGGAUGAACUCCUACUAGACUGGGAGGCAAGGCAAGCUCAUAAGCAACCUCCCCAACUCGCCGAAAUACCUCAAAUGGACCAAUGAACCUUGGGCUCAGUUUUCCCUUCUUUCUGAACCUCAUGACGCCCUUCAUAUGCGAAACCCGGAGCAAGACCCGCUCUCCAACCAUGAAUUCAACACCACGAACCUUUUGAUCCGCAUAACUCUUCUAUUGGGGCUGGUUUGUGCGAAGUCUAUCCUGAAUCACCUUAACCUUCUCUAAGGCAUCCUGAACCAAGUAUGUACCCAAUAAACUGGCCUCCCCCGUCUCGAACCAACUCAUUGGGGACCAACACUACCUAUAAUACAAAGACUUAUACGGUGCCAUCUGAAUGUUAGAUUUAUAGUUGUUGUUGUUGUAUGCAAAUUCCACAAGUGGCAUUAACUGAUCCCAAUAACCUCCAAACUCGAUCACACACGCACAGAGCAUAUCCUCUAGAAUCUGAAUAGUGCACUUGGACUGUCCGUCCGUCUCAGGGUGAAAUGUUGUGCUAAACUCCACCCGAGUACCCAACUCCUAUUUUAUGGACCUCUAGAAUAGUGGUGUAAACUGCGUACCCCUAUCAGAGAUAAUAGAUAUAGUCACACCAUGAAGUCUUACAAUCUCGCGGAUAUAAACUCGGGCCAGCUGCUUGAAAAAAUAGGUAGUCAUCACAGGAAUGAAAUGAUCAGACUUGGUCAGCCUAUCCACAAUUACCCAAGCUACAUAAAACUUCUGGUGAGUCUGUAGGAGUCCAACAAUGAAAUCCAUAGUGAUCCGCUCCCAUUUCCACACCGAAAUCUCUAACUUCUGAAGCAAUCCACUCGGUCGCUGAUGCUCAUACUUCACCUACUGGAAAUUUAGACACCAUGCUACAUAUUCCACUAUGUCUUUCUUCAUUAUAUGCCACCAAUAAUGCUUCCUCAAGUCCUGAUACAUAUUCGUGGCACCCGGAUGAAUGGAGUACCGCGAGCUGUGAGUCUCUUGAAGAAUCAACUCACGCAAUCCAUCUAUAUUGGGCACACAUAGCCUACUUUCACUCUUCGAAUGUGAGCGAAGUACUUCGAGGGAUUAUAUGGAAGAAACCUUCAUCAUCAAUGCACCAUCAUUCCCAAUAGUGACCUCCUUAGCCCCACCAUGCCGAACCGUAUCAUUAAGGACGAACAGAUAGGGGUCAUUAUACUGACGCUCCCUGAUACAAUCAUAAAGAGAAGAUUAGGAGACUAAACAAGCCAAAACUCGUCUCGGCUCAGAAGUAUCCAAUCUAACAAACUUGUUGGCUAAGUCCUAAACAUCCAGUGCCAAUGGCCUCUCUACUGCAGGCAAAUAUGCUAAGUUUCCCACACUCCCCGCCCUGCGACUAAAGGCAUGAAACGUAGAUGGUAACUCAAGGUUGUGGACAAGGUAGUUCUUUUCAUGCACCUUUAGAUGUCUAGAUGCAUAGGUAAUCACCAUAUGGUUCUGCAUCAACACCGCACCGAGAUCAACUCGCAGCGCAUCACAUUAAACAGUAUAAGACCCCGAACCUGUAGGCAAUACCAAUACUGGGGCUGUAGUCAAAGCUGUCUUGAGCUUUUGAAAGCUCUCCUCACACUCUUUUGUCCACAUAAACGGAGCAUCAUUCUGGGUGAGCCUGGUCAUAGGUGCUGCAAUAAAGGAGAAUCCCUUAACAAAUUGACGGUAAUAACCCGCCAAACCAAGAAAUAUUUGGAUCUCUGUAGCUAAGGACGGUCUGCGAAAACUCUGCACUACUUCCACCUUUUUCGAAUCCACUUUGAUCCCUUCGCACGACACUAUGUGACCCAAAAAUGUCACUGAAUCCAACUAGAACUCACAUUUUGAGAACUUUUCAUAUAAUUUCUUCUCUCUCAAGGUCUGAAGCACAGUCCUCCGGUGCUGCUCAUGAUCCUCCCAACUCCGGGAGUACACAAGAAUGUCUUCAACAAAGACAAUGAUGAAUGAGUCAAGAUAAGGCCAAAAUACACUGUGCAUCAAAUGCAUAAAUGCUACUGGGGUGCUGGUUAGCCCAAAUGACAUCACAAGGAAUGCGUAAUGACCAUACCGAGUCUUGAAAGUAGUCUUAGGGAUAUCUAGCUCUUGAAUCUUCAACUGAUGAUAACCUUAAUGGAAAUCAAUCUUGGAAAACACCUAGGCACCCAUAAAAUAGGUCAUCAAUACGAGGCAAAGGAUACAAGUUCUUCAUUGUGAGUUUGUUUAACUGGCGAUAAUCAAUGCACAUACGCAUAGAAUCACCCUUUUUCUUCACAAACAAGACAGGAGCACCCCAAGAUGACACAUUAAGCUGAAUGAAGCCCUUAUCAAGCAAUUUAUGUAAAUGUUCCUUCAACUCCUUCAACUCAAGAGGGGCUAUAUUAUAAGGAAAUAGAGAUGGGCUGAGUGUCGGGCAACAAAUCAAUACCAAAGUCGAUUUCUCUAUUGGGCAGCAUGCCUGGAAGAUCAGCUGGAAAUACAUCAGGGAAAUCCCUGACUACUUUGACUAACUCAACUAUCGGGGUAUCAAUACUGACAUCUAUCACAUAGGCUAGAUACGCUUCACACCUCUUCUCACCCAUUUAUUGAGCUUUAAGAAAUGAAAUAAAUUUGCUAAGAUGGUAAUCUAAGGUACCCCUCCACUCUAAUCGCGGUAAGCCUAUUAUAGCCAGCUUUACGGUCUUGACGUUAUAAUCAAGAAUAGCAUAAUGAUGUGACAACCAGUCCAUGCCCAAGAUAAUAUCAAAGUCUACCAUGAUGAGCAAUAAUAAAUCGGCUCUAGUAUCAAAACCACUAAGAUUAAUCAAACACGAGCGAUACACGUGGUUCACAACAAGAGAAUCUCCCACAGGAGUAGACACAUAAACAAGGGAACUCAAAGAAUCCUGAGAUACUCCCAAAUGCGGGGUAAAAUAAAAUGACAUAUAGGAAUAAGUGGAGCCUAGAUCAAAUAGAGCAGAUGCAUCUCUCUGACAGAUCGGAACAAUACCUAUAAUGACAGAUUUAAAAGCAACGGCCUUUGUACGAGCAGGAAGGGCAUAGUAUCUGGCCUGGCCUCCCCCUCUAGGGCAACCACUACCUCCUCGACCUCUACCUCGAUCUGGCUGAGUAGGUGGAGUAAUAGCUGGUGUUGGAAUCAUGGCCUGAGGACCUGGUGGAGCACGUUGUGGCUAAGAAGUCUGUGAAGGUGCACCUCCUCCUAAGUCUAGGGAAAUCCCUCACUAUAUGGCGAGUGUCACCACACUAAAAAAAAACUCUAAGAAGGCGUGGUUACUGUGGCUGACUCGGGCCAACUCUACUUGACUAACCGCUAAAAACACCCCAUGUAUGAGGUACACUAAUACUUGUCGCGCCCCAUUUUUCCUUGCGGAGUCCGGGUUUAGACAUUCCUUUGGGAAAACUCAUUUCCUUUUGGGAAUUGGGUAUGGAAUUUGAAGAGUCGCCACCUAACGGAUUUAAAGUACAUUAGGGCACCUAAAGCAAAUAACUCAUAAACCGGUUUGCAUUACCAUAGAUUGGGUAAAGACUCAAAAUAAUCUUGAGAGGAAUGUGUUAGGUACCCCUCGAGGUCCACAACGGUGGGUCCUGGCCAAACUAAAAUUAGGUGAAUUAGUCUUAUAAGCAAACAAAGCAAUUUAGACAAAUAGAUAUUACGUUUAAAAUGAGGGGUAAAAGGGGUCCUAGGUUUUUUUUAGCCUAUAGGAUCACUUCUGUACAAUACUUGGUAAUCAUCCCCAAGUAGAGGUGUUAGACAUAGAAUUAGCGCACGUGUCAUCAUAUCUUUUACUACCUGAUUACCCUCCCCUUAAUGGUUAUAUAAGCGAUGCUAAUUAAACGUACUUUAUGCAUGCAUUACCCGUCCCUUACUUGUGGUCGUGGAGGUGUUUAGGAAUUCUUGUUAAGGUGGAUCUAGACUCUCCUAUAGUGCUUAAGAGGAGAAAAUCUAAGCAACAAGCAAAACAAAUAGGACUGUCAGAUAAAGAAACAGUUAAAGGCUCACAUUUACCUCCACAAAGAAGCAGGUAAUUGCACGUCUCAAACAACAGUAUUUCAGACACUUUUAAAGUCCUAUAUCAAGAUAUCUAGGUGAGCACAAAGCAAAACAUAUGCAUUAUUUUUUUAUAUAAAAGCAAGGUAGAAGAUACCUAAUCAGUUUGACUACUGAUUUUAGGACUUGCUAAAUCUUGGCAGUUCACAAACAGUUAAACAAAGCACAGUUUUAUAAUUUCAAGAUUUUAGUUAUCCUACAGGCUUGCCUCGGAAUGGAUUAGAGAUGUCCUAUAAACAUGAUAUCUAAUCGUUAAUCAGAACCACAAUAAACUAGUAAAUGAUUUUAAGCAGGCAGUUUGGUUCAAUAGGUCCUAUAGGCAUACUAUCUAGGUGCUGAAAAAUAAUCACAAAUGUUACAGAACUAGUUUUAUAUAUAAGCCUGAUAUCUAGGUGUUGGGACUGCUUUUAUAUUUAUUUCUUAUAGGCAUGAUUGCUACUGAAGAAACUGAUUUUUAUACGAUUUGACUGCAGGUAUGAUAUAUAUGUGAGUGCAACAAAACUCCUAGAACAUGGUUUCUAAUGCACAUAGGAGAAUUUAUGAACAUGAUUGUUAAGGCUGAAUUAACGACAACCUAGAGACAGGAUUUCUAGCGCGGAUGUGAACAUGCAUAGAUAGAAAUUAAGAGCAAGGAACAUGAUGAACCUAUAAGCAUGUUUUCUAAUGCACACAACAACCUAUAGGCAUGGUUUCUAAUACAGGUAGAUAAUCAUAACAGUCCUACGAGCAUGAUUUCUACCUGAUUUCCCCACAAAAAUAUAUAAAAGUCCAUCACAUUUUACUAAUAUCUCUAAUAUCUAUUUUACAAGAAUUGUUAUUACAGACCAAAAAUGAAUGAAUUACAGAAAUGAGACUGUUAAACUAUAGGGAGCGUGGAUAGGCCCAAAAGUAAACCUGGAAAACCAGGCCUUCAACCAAGUAUUAAGUGCCCCAACAUCUAAUAUUAUCCAAGAGAGUAUCCCGGUGCAUCAAAGUUCCUAAGGGCCUCAAGGACCCUGGGCAACACUCAGACCAAGACUCCUUUUAAAGAGAAAUAGUUUUUGUAUAAUGUGGAAGCGCCAACCCUAGUGUGUUAGAGUUCGGAGGAGUCUCACGGACUCCUAAGAAAUGCUCACACUGGAGGGGAAGGAUCCUAGAUAUUCUAAAAGUAGUAGUAGAAGAUAGUUCUUGAAAGAGUAGAAAUAGUUUUAAGAAAACAGUUCAAAAGUGAAAAUAGCUCAGAAGUGAAAACAGUUCAGAAGUGAAAAUAGCUCAGAAGUGAAAACAGUUCAUAAGUGAAAACAAUUCAGAAGUGAAAACAGUUUAGAAGCAUUCUAAAAACAAAGGUUUCAACAGACAAAUAGAAACACAGUCACAAAGCAAAGAUUCAUAUUGCCCAGAUUUAGUUUAGUUCAUUAGUUAACACUAGGUGGGCAUAUAGCAUCCUCGGAACAACUAUACAUAUAAGGGGUAGCAGGGGUUAGGAACAUAAAAAUCCUUAACCCAGGACACAUGAAUCUGAUAAAAAACAAAAGCAUGUUGAUUAACACCAAGCAAACUGACACAUUAUGACAGCAAAAUUCCAUAACACUCAAUAGGACCUAGUGAUGCUAAUUAGAAGCAAUAAACAGUAAGCACAUAAGUUUAAAGAUCCAGAUUACAUAGCACUCGAUAGAUUAGAAGGACUCAUACUGACUUAAAAUAGUAGAUAUGAAUGAUAUAGAACUUAAAUGCAGGAGUAGUUAUGUUAGUUCAUAGAAAGGGCAGGGGUUUAAUUACACAGAAGUGGUCAUACUAAUUGAGGCCAAUGGAGAGUAAAGAUAAAAGUCUAAAUGCCUAAGUAAGCAUGCUAGUUUAAGGCAAUAAAUAGGAAAGGAUUGAGCUUAAACACAGAACUAGACAUGAUGAUUAAAGCAAUAAACAGGAAAAAUACAUAGUUAAACAUAGAAGUAGACAUGCUAAUCGAAAUGUAGAAGAGACAUGGAAUAGGGGCACAUAGUUUCAAGCUUCAUUGUAUAAUGAACGACAUUAGAAAUAGGGACAUACCAGUUAAAGAUGGUAAAUGGAAGAUGAAAGGUAUGCAGAACUCAAUGAUCUAGCCUUGGCUUUCAGCCGGCUAGGCAGUGCAAUGAACACAAGUAGCAGAGAGGUUUUGAGAGCAAAGUUUUGUGUGUAUGUGUGUGUGUGUGUGUUUUUUAACUAUGUUCAUGUUGAAGAAUCAGUAAUGAGAGUAUAUAUAGCACUUAGUGAGGUAAAACAAAUAAGGUAAAGUGGAAAUCACAAUUCGUAAAACAAUGGUAAUCAAAUAAAAUCAAUCAGCCAAUUAGGGAAUCAAUUCCCAUAGAGAAAUCUGGAAAAGGCCCCUUAAAUUGGGAGGGUCAAUUAACAGUACAUAACUAGGGCUUAAAUAAGGCAAGAGAUCAAUGUCAUACCAUAUAGGAGUCAAUCGGAUCCCCAAACCAUACUAAUAGUUUAAUUAAGGCAAGUAUAACUAAUCAAGGUUACAAAUAAGAAAAUAGGUAAAAUCACAAAAAACACUGAUUUAAUAGGAAAAUAUGAUUCGAAUCCCUAAUAACAAUCAAUCAGUAUAUUGAGUUGACAAAUAAACAAAUAACAGGAAGAAAAUUGAAGAAAUCAGUGCAAGAACAUAACAAGACCUGGGUUUAAAGAACAUAAAAAAAGUAACCACACGAGUAACGGAUAAUCAAAUUAAACACUUGAAAGUUUGAAAAAGAAAACCUUUUGAAGAAACUUGGGACGAAAACCCUAAUUUCAGAGAAGCACUGAAAUCGGAAUAGUAAUAACAAAAGUAUAAGAUUUUUGAGGAAAAAUAUCAAAAAGUACUUAAACCUUCCAGAUCUACAAGGAUAUGGAUAGACCCAAGUAGUUAUAAGACUAGGGUUUUCGAAAAUAGCAGAGAUGAAAGAAACUCGAUCCAAAACCAUAGAUUCAAACCAAAAAUAGGCAAGAAACAGUACUCACAAACGAGAAUGGCCAAAGACAGACAUGUGAGAUAGAUUUCGACAAAACCCGGUUGAAUCUCUUUGAGAUUCUCUCAUAAAUCAAUGAAGUCGAACAACCAGAAGAUGUAACAGGCCAGCAAGGGCCAAAAAUACACAAAAACCCCAUGGACGGGGAGUUUUACAAGUGACGACGGCUAGAUUUUAGGGAGUGUUUGAGAGAGAAUGGAGAGGUCAGGGAAAGUGAUGAUGGUAGAA
Molecule: long non-coding RNA, 14208 nt
Filed under: Nicotiana tabacum (common tobacco)
Lineage: Eukaryota; Viridiplantae; Streptophyta; Magnoliopsida; Solanales; Solanaceae
Description: long non-coding RNA (NTAB_LNC009454)
Source: RNAcentral